Molecule: ribosomal RNA, 886 nt
Filed under: uncultured Bacillota bacterium
Lineage: Bacteria; Bacillati; Bacillota
Description: bacterial SSU rRNA
Rfam family: Bacterial small subunit ribosomal RNA
Source: RNAcentral
AAGCCCCGGCUAACUACGUGCCAGCAGCCGCGGUAAUACGUAGGGGCGAGCGUUGUCCGGAAUUACUGGGCGUAAAGAGUACGUAGGCGGUUCUGUAAGCGCAGGUGAAAGGCAACGGCUUAACCGUUGUCAGCCGUGCGAACUGCAGGACUUGAGUGCAGGAAGGAAAGCGGAAUUCCUGGUGUAGCGGUGAAAUGCGUAGAUAUCAGGAGGAACACCGGUGCGAAGGCGGCUUUCUGGACUGUAACUGACGCUGAGGUACGAAAGCGUGGGGAGCAAACAGAUUAGAUACCCUGGUAGUCCACGCCGUAAACGAUGAGUAUUAGGUGUCGGGGCCGCAUGGUUCGGUGCCGCAGUUAACGCAAUAAAUACUCCGCCUGGGGAGUACGCACGCAAGUGUGAACUCAAAGGAAUUGACGGGGACCCGCACAAGCAGCGGAGCAUGUGGUUUAAUUCGAAGCAAGCGAAGAACCUUACCAAGGCUUGACAUCCUUCUGACAGGACCUUAACCGGUCCCUUCUUCGACAGAAGUGACAGGUGGUGCAUGGUUGUCGUCAGCUCGUGUCGUGAGAUGUUGGGUUAAUCCCGCAACGAGCGCAACCCUUGUCGUCAGUUACUAACAUUCAGUUGAGGACUCUAAUGAACUGCCGUGGAUAACACGGAGGAAGGUGGGGAUGACGUCAAAUCAUCAUGCCCCUUAUGCUUGGGCUACACACGUGCUACAAUGGUCGGUACAAAGAGAAGCGAGACAGCGAUGUGGAGCAAUCUCAAAAGCCGAUCCCAGUUCGGAUUGCAGGCUGCAACUCGCCUGCAUGAAGUCGGAUUGCUAGUAAUCGUGGAUCAGAAUGCCACGGUGAAUGCGUUCCCGGGUCUUGUACACACCCCG